ACAGAGAACACCACUGUGCGUGGCAUUUCCGUAUCCAAUGCGGAAUUGCGAAUGCAACAGACAAGACCCGGAUGGCGGAGGAGUGGGCCGUGGGAGGACUCACACGACUUUGUCAUUAUAAAUUGAAAGACAUUUCUAGUCGCGUUCUCCCCGCGCCAAAGGACCUUCCUCGGGAAAAUUAUUUUCGUUUUGUGCCCCAGCUGAUUGAAAUUUCAACUUCCGCCUGGGACGAGGGACGUCAAUUGAAUUACGAAACUUUUGACAUUUGCUGCAAAAGUAAUACUAAGUAGCAACAACAAAGGGCUGCUCUGAACGGCGACAUGCCCACAACGCCCCUAACACCUACACACCUCUGAAUAUCCUGGCGUAUCCUGGCGAGUCCUGGGCACAUCGCACACAGCCCUGCACUCCACACACGAUUCUACAAUGCGUUUUUCCUGCUGGAGAUCAACAAAAAGCGUCGCAUUGAAUUUCAAAAGAAGGAAAGCGGAAACAAACUUGAGCACACAACGUCCAUUUCCUGUUUCUGUUUGUCCUUGCUGCCGUGUCCUUGUUGUUGUCCUUGCCCAUUCGCACAUCGAUUCGGCUUGAUUCAGCUCGAUUUGCACCGGCUUUUGGCACAGAUUGUGUUGAGUUUUGUUUGGCAUCGUUGGACUCCGGUUACCACAGGCCCCUGCAACCGAAAUGCAACUUUUUUUGGCCACCUUUCACCGUCGAGGGCGAUGAGAACCCGUAACGGAAAACCCCGGAACCCCCUUGGUUCUUCGGAAGCGUAGCUCGCAUUUUCUUUGCAAUUUUUUGCAAUCAACUCGAACAGGUAAUGAAAUGCAAAUCGAUCCAUACACGCAUUAAGUCGGAUGCAUUGGCAGUUUCCCGAGAAAUGAAAGAA
Drosophila simulans is the source of this 889-nucleotide long non-coding RNA. RefSeq lists it as uncharacterized. The record is from RefSeq and is a predicted model, not a curated record. NCBI's taxonomy places the organism in Eukaryota, Metazoa, Arthropoda, Insecta, Diptera, Drosophilidae. The transcript has 3 exons.